GUGCCAGCAGCCGCGGUAAGACAGAGGGUGCAAGCGUUGUUCGGAAUUAUUGGGCGUAAAGGGCGCGUAGGCGGCGCUGUAAGUCAGAUGUGAAAUCCCAGGGCUCAACCCUGGAAGUGCGUCUGAUACUGCAGUGCUUGAGUCUCGGAGAGGAUGGUGGAAUUCCCAGUGUAGAGGUGAAAUUCGUAGAUAUUGGGAGGAAUACCGGUGGCGAAGGCGACCAUCUGGACGAAGACUGACGCUGAGGCGCGAAAGCGUGGGGAGCAAACAGGAUUAGAAACCCUCGUAGUCC
Molecule: ribosomal RNA, 292 nt
Filed under: uncultured bacterium
Lineage: Bacteria
Description: partial 16S ribosomal RNA
Rfam family: Bacterial small subunit ribosomal RNA
Source: RNAcentral